RNAcentral lists this unclassified non-coding RNA (7176 nucleotides) under Zea mays. RNAcentral describes it as "misc RNA Zm00001eb150390". Lineage: Eukaryota; Viridiplantae; Streptophyta; Magnoliopsida; Poales; Poaceae. The record is from RNAcentral.
GUCCUGUACUGCUGUCCAUGCUCUCGUGGAAAUUGCCGCCCGCGACACGCCUCCCGAUAUCCACACAUUGGCAUCUGCGCGCUGCGUGGGACACUCGGACGUGGCUGUCGUCGCUAAGACUCUGUUCCGUCCGUCGUGCCGCCGUUUAGACGUCUCGGAUUGGGGACGGCGGCGCGUGCGUGGCGGUCAGAUCUUCGUCAAAACGCUCCGACCAGAGACGGCGCGCGCGUGGCGGCCUACACGUCGUCGUAAGUCUCGCUUGGGAUUGCUCUGCCUGUAAGGCGAGAUUGCGAGAAGAUGGGGCAGACAAGGAAGGAGGUCGUAUUGGCGCUGGACUCUAGGUUCACAAGCAUGAUGACGGACCAAAGAAGCUCGAGAACUCCAUGCUGCAUUGCUAUCUCAACCAAGAGGACUUGGUGGAGGAAGGAAAGGAGGAAGAGAAGAAGGAGAAACUGAGUAACAUGUUUGUCCUGAUUACCGUAAAAAACAGGUUUGUCCUGAUCAUUCAACUCCUCCUCCAUCUGUUUCUCAAAAAUCUUUACUAUGCCUGCCUAAGACGGUAGGAGAUUUGCCAAUGUAAGUUUCUGAUUGGCUCAAAGAUGCUGAAGUCCUUUUCCUAUUUCUGGAAGUCCUUGAGAAUCAUGUCUGGUCACUCAUCCUCUCGUAUAAAGCCUUACAUCAAGUGAAUCAGUUGUUGUAUUUGUCGGUGUUUUGGGUCCGACCGCACACCCGGGGUUGCCCCUCAAGGUGCUUUUAGGAGUAGGACGGUGUUGUCAACUGUAGUUCAAUGGUUCGUGCUAGUUGCACGAGAGACGGUGGACAAUGAUUUACAGGUUCGGGCCGCUUUGAAGUGCGUAACACCCUACGUCCUGGCGAGAAUGUUGUAUAUGGUGAGUUACAAGGUGAUUCUCUAAUGCGUAGGAAGCUGGGGUGGACGGCUAAGUGGUGAGUUCGAUUCUUUCUGGAGGGGUGCCCCCUAGGCCUUAUAUACUCGACCGUGGGGCAAUACAUGCAAAUAUGAUAAUCACGUGCACCUAAGAAAUAGUAGACCGAUUGAGUCUAUCUUCCUAUAGUUCCGCCGACCCAUCUUCGCUCGGUUCGUUGUACGGGCCUUCAGCGCGAGAAGAUCGGGUCUCUGUUGUGAUUACUCGCUCGAGAUCAUUGUGCCGUCUAAGCUUGUUCCGACCCAGCCUUAUGUCGAUCUGCUUCACUGGUCGUUCCUCCACAAGCCCACGAAGGGAUGACCUUACGACUUAUUGGACCCUUGGGCCUUUCGUGAGGUCUUUUAUCCUUCCAGUGGACCCAGGGGAUAUCUGUCCCCCACAAGCCCCCGAUCUUUGGGUUGAUUUUGAAAUAAUCGGCCCAGAGAUCCUAAGUCCAGCUUGCGGUCUUUGUUUGUAACAGGAAGUACUUUCUGGGUAAUCUAGUAACAACGAUUUCUUACUGUCUCCUUCUGCUUUUAUCACUUGAAAAUUGGUGUUCUGUCUUAGACUUUUGCUUCGGAGGUCAGCAUUUCGUACUGCGGGACUUCGAACUUCAUUGGGUGCACCAAAGGUGCACCCAAUGGGUGUAGCCCCCGAGCUUCGAGUGGAUUUUUUGAAAAUAAUCCACUCGAAGGUCUUCACUUUGAGUAUUAUCAGAAGUCACCUUCAUCUUCCACUUGUAUUUUGUCGGAGGUUAACCUUGCAUUGAUCUUACCCUAUGCUUUAGAGGUCAGCAUUGUCUUGAUCCGAGAUAAUGAUUCAAUGGGUGUAGCCCCCGAGCUUCGAGUGGAUUUUUGAAAAUAAUUCACUCGAAGAUCUUCAUUUUAUGCCUUUUUCCAGUGAUCUUCUUCCCUUUUUGCCGGAUGCCUUGGAGGUCAGCACUAUGUUAUUGAUAUUAUGCUUUAGAUAUCAGCGUAUAUUUUGUCUUUGAGGCCGAGUUUGUGAUCUGCUCAUAUCUUGCUAGGCGGUGCAAUUUAUUUGAUCUGUGACUGAUUGGACGUUCGACAGGUGACCCUUGGCUAGUCUUUGUUAUCACUUCUUGCUUCAAUGCUUCUGUCGAUUAGACUUGUACCUUGUUGGCUAUAUAGCUUUCCUUUGAUCCUUGUUGAUAUCUCACUUUUGUCUUGAAAUAUUCAUUGCACGUGCUGCACGGAUGUGACAGUUUUGAAAAAUAUACUGGUAUUUCCUGGGCGUCCCCCCAAUGGGUGUAGGCAAGGGACGGCUUGGUACAGAGUGUUUUAGCAAACUGUCUCUGAGUAGUAACUUGAUGUGACCGCGGGUGUAAUCAUAUCGCCCGCGCAGUUGACUGGAGUCCCAAUGGGUGUUGUGUUGCGUGAAACGGCGUCAGCCGCCUGGCGUGUCUUCAGACGGUUUGAAUUGCAUAUUCAAUUUUUGCGACUGUUCAGUCGCCAUGGUAGGAGGUGAGCGGUUGCCUCCUUCUUCUAUAAAUAGUGUUCUUGCUUCCCCGGCAUUUUCACAUCUCUUACUGCUCUCUGCUGCUUGCUCUCUUCUUCCUCCUUCCUUUCCACCAUGGGCAAGAGUAAGAAGGGUAGCAGUUCCUCGCCUCGCUCUGGUGAUAAGCGCAAACGUGAGCCGACUCCUCCCUCGGAGGACUUCGGCAACUCGGAGUACUCGGAGGAGGAGUUCUCCUCCGAGUCCGAGGGGUCUCCGGCCCCCGCCUCUCCCCCGGCGUCGUCUGAUGAUUCAGACGACUCCCAGGGGAUUGCCGCGGAGGCCUGGACCUACAUCCGGGCCGUCGAGCGCGCCGAGCUCGAGGGCUCGGAUGAGUCGGAGUACUCCUCAGACGAGGAGGACUCCUCGGACUCGUCCGAGGAGGGCAGCGGCGGCGAUGGCGGAGACAACGAUGACGACGGAGGCGACAGCGACGGCAGCGGCAAGGACAGUGACGGCAGCGGCGAGGGCGGCAACGGCGGCGGCAAGGGCAGCAGCAGGGGCAGCAACCAGGCCAGUGGCUAAAUGCCACUGGUUUUUAGAUAUUAGUAUAGAUUAGUAGUAGAAAUAGUAUUAGUGAAAUAACGUAGUAGUAGUAGUAUAGAAUAGUGUAAUGUAACGUAGUAGUAGUGGUAGGGAAGUAUCAACUCAUAACGAGUUGAUUUGUAAGUUCUGUAACUUCCCUUUCAUGAAGAAUGAUAUAGUCUCUCCCUGUGUUAAUUUCUUUGCUUCCUGCGACGAUGGUGUCUUAGAAACAGUGGCCGAGUUAUUAUCGACGACAUUAGCGCUUCUGAAAUAGUGUCCGAAUGAUGGCGGGGCCACGUUGGUGUUUUUAGAAUUAACGGCCGAGUGGUUACUGUUGAUACCAGUGUUAUAGAAGUAACAACCGAGUGACUGACGGCAGCGUCAGCGUUUUAGAGGCAACGACCGAGUGACUGGUGGCAGCAUCGGCGUUUUAGAGGCAACGACCGAGUGACUGACGGCGACGUCGGCGUUUUAGAAGUAACAGCCGAGUGAAGUCAGCGUUUUUAGAAACCACGGCUGAGUCAAUUUGGGCCGUGUUGGCCGUUUUGGAAUCAACGGCCGAGUGAUGACAUGGCACGCCGGCUUUUUUAGAAAUAGCAGCUGAGUGAUGACGUGGCACGCCAGCGUUUUUAGAAAUAACCGCUGGGUGAUGACUGGGCACUUUUUGGAAAUGACAUCUGGCCCGGGAAAACCCUAUAUGUACUGCACUGUUCCGCGUCUCCACAUACCGUGCCCUAGUUCUUGCUUUCCUGCUUCCAGAUCCUCUCUGUCGAUUUGCAAUUCUGCUUCCACUCUGCUCGCCGGCGAGGUUAAGAUGGCGCCUAAGCGGAAAGCUUCGAGUUCGUCCGCUGCUGUCAUUCCCCCCAUCGAUCCCAACAGUCAAUUGCCUUUCACAGGUAACCAUAUGUCUGUUGUUUCUGAGUCUGACCUUCUCCAUCUCGUGUCCAUCGGAGUUCUUUCUCCGAAAGAACUCUGUUCCUGGCGGAUCUGCUGUGGGUCACUGUUCCAACAGAAGACACCCAUGAAUCUGUUGUUUAUGUUCCAUUCCUCCUCUGCGGCCUUGCUCUUCCUAUUUCUCCCUUUUUCCGUGGUUUACUUGAUUUCUAUCGCUUGAAUCUGACCCAUUUGAAUCUCAAUUCCAUUCUGCAAAUCUCCAUCUUUGUUCAUUUAUGUGAGGCUUUUCUUGGCGUUCUGCCGCAUUUUGGCCUGUGGAAAUAUUUGUAUCACUGUCGCCCUGGGAUGGCCGGAGGUCAGCACCAACUGGUAGGGGGCGCGAGCUUGGAGAUGCGCCGCGGGAGGAAAACCGAUUACCUUGACAUCCCACUCAAAGACAGCACCAAAGGAUGACGCUUAGAGUGGUUUAUCGUGGAAAAUCAUGGGAAUUCCCUCCCACCACGGUCAGGGAGACAACCGGAUGUUCGUACUCCGAGUUGGACCGAGUCCCCCACAGACCAGGAGGUGGCUGAAGCAGGGGCUCUGCUAGCUGAAGUUGGAUUGCUGAAAGAGAGGGGUCUGACUGCCGAGGCUGUGGUUGCUGACUUUGUCUUCAAGAAUAUUCAGCCACUGAAGGACCGGGCAUACCCAUCCUAUCUGUAUCGAGGUCUAGCUGACUCAACCCGGGUCACCGACAGAAGAAUUCCUGCUGUGGACUUGGUGAACUGGCUUGAAAUGAUACUUAGAGGCAACGUAUCAAACGUUGGCGCCCCUGUUGCGUACUCGGCCUGGAACCUGCCUCCUUCCAAAGCCUUUACUUAUUUCGUGUCAAGUCCUUCUUCUGCUGAUGGCGGUUUGGGCCUUAGAGUGCGACCCUCUGCCAAAGAAGUUAGUGCUUUGGUUGCUUUACUUGGAGAAAUUCCUGAUGAUGAACGGCAGGUCCACUUUGAAGUGCCUUUGGAUCCUAGUGAUGCAGAGAUAGGUGCCAUGCUGGAUAUGUUGGCUGGAGAUUCUUCUGAUGUCGCUCCUGCUGAAACAUUGGUGGUGGUGCCCAUCCAUGAAGCUGACAAAGCCUUGGACGCUCAGAAGCCUAUCAAUGUUCGUCCAAAACGUUCUCGCCGAGUUGACCAAGCCUCUUUUCCUGCUGAGGGGGAGAAAAAGAAGAAGAGACGCCUUCGUCAGGUGUCCAGCUUGGAUCAAGGUGCCGGUCCUUCUGCUCCUGUUGCUGAGGAAGUGCCAGUGCCUGAAUUCACUGAAGCUGAUCCCAAUGGGUGUAGCCCGUCUAACGCUGAACCCAAUGGGUGUACUGUCUGUCUUGCUGAUGAUAACGGUGAAGAAGAAGAUGAAAUCCCCCUGAUUCGGAAAAACAGCUGCCAUUACACUGCCAGUGGGGAAAGUAGCGGUGUUCCUUCUCUAGCCUUGUUUGCCCUCAUUGGACUGCAAGAAUUAUCUCUAGCUAACUUUGAUCAGACUCUUGAGGACAUGAUUCCAGAAGAUCUGCUAUCAGAACCGGCAGAUGGUGGCGCCAUGGAUGUUUGUGUUGAUGUGAUCGACGCCGGGUUGGGGUCCUCCCGUGCAGCGUCCCGCGCCUCAUCGACCUUGGAGCGUGGUCUUGAGGGUCAGGAGGCUGGUUUGGAUUCCCCUGCUCCCAUGGAAGUGAUCGAGGGACCUUCAGCCUUAGAAGCGGCUGCUGCAGAGAACUCGGCCCACGAUGACGGUGCUAGCCUUUACCCAGCCCCCGAGGGUGCUGCCGGAGAUGAUCCAGCUCAAAUGGAUAGUGCCAGCUACUACCCAGCCCCCGAGGGUGCUGCCGGAGAUGAUCCGGCUCGGAUGGGUAGUGCAAGCUAUGAUCCAGCCCCCGAGGGUGCUGCCGGAGAUGAUCCGACUCGGAUGGGUAGUGCAAGCUAUGAUCCAGCCCCCGAGGGUGUGGGAGCGGGUUCUCCCUCUUGCACUUCCAUGGAUGUUCACGUAGGGUCCACUCCUCCACACUCUGGUUGUGUGGUAACAGCCCAAGCCUUUGGUCAGGGGGUCGCUUUAGAGGCCAGCGUACCUGAUGACAAGGUUUUGGGUUCUGCCGAUGUCACUGAAUUGGUCCCUGCUGAAUCAUUGCAAGUUGCUCCGAGUGGUGAUCCUUUGCCGAGCCAUCAGUUGAUCUCUCAUGAUUUGGGAGUCGCUUCCUUCUUUUCCAACUUCCAGGCGUUGGUCGAUGAGAUGUCUAGCCGGCUGAGGUUGUAGGGUGCUUCCGUCCCGGAAGGAGCUUUGUCUCUGGCGCGUUGGAAUCCGGUGCUGCUUCGGCGGCGUGUUUCUGACUUAGAGGCGGCGAAUGCUGGUCAGUGCUCUUUUGCUUCCUUCUGGCUACCUUAUCAAACUGCUUCUUAUUUCAACACCUUUGCUUGACUGUUUCUCACCAGAUAUGAUUCAGCAGUAUUCUGCUCUUGAGGAAAAACGCUCUCAAGACCAAGCUGAACUGGUCUGGCGGUGUUUUGAUCUUGAGGAAAAGUAUUCCCAAAGUCAGACAGAACUGGCCCAGGUCUCUGCUUCUCUGAAUGAUGCCAACACGCUGAACUCUACUCUCCGCGCUCAGCUUGACUCUGAGAAGGAAGAAAAACGUGCCCUUGUUACUUCUCGUGACAAUCUUGAUAGGCUAUAUCGUGACUCUAGCAACUCGCUGACCAUCUUGGAGAGGAGUCAUCGCUUCACCAGGGAGGAGUUAGACAAUCUUCGUUAUAAGCUGCAGGAAUCCUUGGAUGAUGUGAUUCGCCUCAGGGAGUUGAUAUCGGCCAAAGAUGUUGUCAUCAAGAAUCUGCGUGCUUCCAAGAAAUCUGUCGCCGAGGAGCUAGAGACUGCUCAGUUGGCUGUCAAGGUUGCUGAAGAGACUUCCGCUACUUUGAGGGCCCAACGCGAUAAAGCCAUGGAUAAAGCUAUUCGCGCGGGGCGGAUUCUGAUGAAGAGACCUGGUGUGGUUGUCCCUGACGACAUAGUGGCAGAUGUGAACGCUGCUCCCGAUUCCUCGAGUCGCCCUUCUUCGUCAGUUGCUCCUGAGAAGAAUGUCGCAAAAUAGAAAAACAUUGCAUGCUUCGAGCGCAUGGUUAAUGUGCUCGGAUGUUUUGUUAGAGGACACCUUUCAGUGCUGAAUGCUACUAUUGUUCUCCUAUUGUUUUAGAAUUCAACAGUAUCUACAUUUGUAGAGGUAAAAUGUAGCGUAAUGGUUUCGAGACUUCUUCAUGGGACAUAGAGGCCGCCCCUGGAUGAGUAACCGUAUACGCGCUGAGUGCGCUGCGCC